This 368-nucleotide ribosomal RNA is filed under the name uncultured organism. RNAcentral describes it as "bacterial SSU rRNA". It matches the Rfam family "Bacterial small subunit ribosomal RNA", at positions 526 to 896 of the family's 1533-position model. The record is from RNAcentral.
CGUAGGGUGCAAGCGUUAAUCGGAAUUACUGGGCGUAAAGCGUGCGCAGGCGGUUUCGUAAGUCUGUCGUGAAAUCCCCGGGCUUAACCUGGGAAUGGCGAUGGAGACUGCGAGGCUAGAGUUUGGCAGAGGGGGUAGAAUUCCACGUGUAGCAGUGAAAUGCGUAGAGAUGUGGAGGAACACCGAUGGCGAAGGCAGCCCCCUGGGUCAAAACUGACGCUCAUGCACGAAAGCGUGGGGAGCAAACAGGAUUAGAUACCCUGGUAGUCCACGCCCUAAACGAUGUCUACUAGUUGUUGGGUCUUAAUUGACUUAGUAACGCAGCUAACGCGUGAAGUAGACCGCCUGGGGAUACGGUCGCAAGAUUA